AGGGGGGAGCUACCAUGCAGUCGAGCGAGAACUUCGGUUCUAGCGGCGGACGGGUUAGUAACGCGUGGGAACGUGCCCUUCACUACGGAAUAGUCCCGGGAAACUGGGUUUAAUACCGUAUACGCCCUUCGGGGGAAAGAAUUUCGGUGAAGGAUCGGCCCGCGUUAGAUUAGAUAGUUGGUGGGGUAACGGCCUACCAAGUCUACGAUCUAUAGCUGGUUUUAGAGGAUGAUCAGCAACACUGGGACUGAGACACGGCCCAGACUCCUACGGGAGGCAGCAGUGGGGAAUCUUAGACAAUGGGCGCAAGCCUGAUCUAGCCAUGCCGCGUGAGUGAUGAAGGCCUUAGGGUCGUAAAGCUCUUUCGCCAGGGAUGAUAAUGACAGUACCUGGUAAAGAAACCCCGGCUAACUCCGUGCCAGCAGCCGCGGUAAUACGGAGGGGGUUAGCGUUGUUCGGAAUUACUGGGCGUAAAGCGCGCGUAGGCGGAUUGGAAAGUUGGGGGUGAAAUCCCAGGGCUCAACCCUGGAACUGCCUCCAAAACUAUCAGUCUAGAGUUCGAGAGAGGUGAGUGGAACUCCGAGUGUAGAGGUGAAAUUCGUAGAUAUUCGGAAGAACACCAGUGGCGAAGGCGGCUCACUGGCUCGAUACUGACGCUGAGGUGCGAAAGUGUGGGGAGCAAACAGGAUUAGAUACCCUGGUAGUCCACA
Molecule: ribosomal RNA, 710 nt
Filed under: Roseovarius sp.
Lineage: Bacteria; Pseudomonadati; Pseudomonadota; Alphaproteobacteria; Rhodobacterales; Roseobacteraceae
Description: bacterial SSU rRNA
Rfam family: Bacterial small subunit ribosomal RNA
Source: RNAcentral